GACGAACGCUGGCGGCGUGCUUAACACAUGCAAGUCGAACGGAAAGGCCCUGCUUUUGUGGGGUGCUCGAGUGGCGAACGGGUGAGUAACACGUGAGUAACCUGCCCUUGACUUUGGGAUAACUUCAGGAAACUGGGGCUAAUACCGGAUAGGAGCUCCUGCUGCAUGGUGGGGGUUGGAAAGUUUCGGCGGUUGGGGAUGGACUCGCGGCUUAUCAGCUUGGUGGUGGGGUAGUGGCUUACCAAGGCUUUGACGGGUAGCCGGCCUGAGAGGGUGACCGGCCAAAUUGGGACGGAGCUGCGGCCCAGACUACUCCGGGAGGCAGCAGUGGGGAAUAUUGCACAAUGGGCGGAAGCCUGAUGCAGCAACGCCGCGUGCGGGAUGACGGCAUUCGGGUUGUAAACCGCUUUCGCCUGUGACGAAGCGUGAGUGACGGUAAUGGGUAAAGAAGCACCGGCUAACUACGUG
RNAcentral lists this ribosomal RNA (468 nucleotides) under uncultured bacterium. Its description in RNAcentral is "partial 16S ribosomal RNA". It matches the Rfam family "Bacterial small subunit ribosomal RNA", at positions 28 to 507 of the family's 1533-position model. The record is from RNAcentral.